CCUACGGGAGGCUGCAGUGAGGAAUAUUGGUCAAUGGACGAGAGUCUGAACCAGCCAAGUAGCGUGAAGGAUGACUGCCCUAUGGGUUGUAAACUUCUGUUAUAAAGGAAUAAAACGAGGCACGUGUGCCUUUUUGCAUGUACUUUAUGAAUAAGGAUCGGCGAACUCCGUGCCAGCAGCCGCGGUAAUACGGAGGAUCCGAGAGUUAUCCGGAUUUAUUGGGUUUAAAGGGAGCGUAGAUGGGUUGUUAAGUCAGUUGUGAAAGUUUGCGGCUCAACCAUAAAAUUGCAAUUGAUACUGGCAUUCUUGAGUACAGUUGCGCUCGGCGUAAUUCGUGUUGUAGCG
Molecule: ribosomal RNA, 345 nt
Filed under: uncultured bacterium
Lineage: Bacteria
Description: partial 16S ribosomal RNA
Rfam family: Bacterial small subunit ribosomal RNA
Source: RNAcentral